Molecule: small nucleolar RNA, 134 nt
Organism: Hibiscus syriacus
Lineage: Eukaryota; Viridiplantae; Streptophyta; Magnoliopsida; Malvales; Malvaceae
Product: small nucleolar RNA snoR111
Exons: 1
Source: RefSeq, a predicted model, not a curated record
AGAACAAUGAGGAGGCAUCUAUAAAAUUAGUCUCUUCAUGAAACAACGUUGAGGUAUAUCAAAAUCAAAGGCCGAGAUAUCGUUUCAGUCGUCAUUUUUUCUCCAUUGACGCUCUGAUUGUUGCUCGUCCACAC